CGGCGGAAUUAAAAUAGUCUUUUUCACGAGGCUGACAAAAGUUCACGCCAGCAAAUAGUGCUUUUUAGGUCCGCGGAGGGGGCAGGAGGGGAGGGAGUGAGGCAGCCCUUAAUAAUCAUCUGAACGCAGGCUCGUUUUUGCUGAUAUUUCAGAGUGGUGGCUUUUGUUUUUCCCCCCCUUUCCCUUCGUAUUUUGGAGUCUUUAAAUAAGCAGCACGGCAGAGCAGCCUGCACCGCACAGCGGUGUGGUUGUAUAACUCGUGUUUCACCUCAGCUGAACUUGACGCAUCUGGUUCACCGGCGGCGCGAGUCGCACGGCGCAGUCUGCUGUCUGUCCCCACUGAACCGAGCUGCAUGGCCGGCCGAGAGAGACGCGGAGAAAGAAAGGGGGGAAACGCAACACUUUCGUGACAUAGCAGCGGCUCUCGGAGACCGAGUCACGGGAUGACUCCUCCACAUCUCAGUCUGCAAAUAUCGUCCCUUUCUUGCUUUUUUAAUUUCCUGCUGUUUCGUGGCUCCAGACACAAAAAGGAAGACGAGUCACCGUGGGCUAAAGGAAAUAUAAAGCCGGCCGACUUGGACACGCCGGAGCAGACCAUCCAACUUGAACUUGAGACGAAUCGGUGCAGGGCAGCACAUCGAGGAGAACGAGAACCCACAGGGCCUCAGACAUUGUAAAGCAGAGAGGAUAUGUGGACAUACUGUGUGCAGCCGCGGAUGGGUCCAGCACAGCCGCUUCAUCCAGGAUAGCUCAUUGCUGUGGUGUGGGACAGUUACUUCAAAGUCUCAGUGGAGUCAUUACUUGGGAGUGACUUUAUUUUUCCGUGCCAGACAUUGAUAUCAAGCAUCGAGACGAGGAAACCUGAGAGGAGGCGAGUUGACAGACCGCACAGACCUGCUCAGGGAAGAUGACCUGCCAAGCUCAAGUGACAUGCAGAGGAAGUGUUUUGAGUGUAUUUUGUUUUGUUUUUUAAUUACCACACAUUUCGCAUAUUAAGCCUCUCCUUUAAAUGUAUAAAAAAAAAAUAAGGAACCUCAUGAUCAGCUGGGGCCUUUCUGCAUGGAUGUCCUCCAUGUGCCUGUGUGGGUUUUUCUGGGUACUUUCCUCCCACAGUGCAUCUUAAGUUGGGUAAAUAGUGAUUAUAAAUGUGUCUGUGGAUGUGAUUGUGAGAUGUUGUUGUGUGUCUGCGUGUGUUAAACCUCUGAUAGAUUGGCAGCUGGGUCAGGAUUUAACAAGUUUAGAAAAAAAACAAACGGAUUGAACAAAACAGAAAUAAAUAUAUGUUUCAUUUCUUAAAAUGUAAAACAAGCACUUUUUUGGACAUGCAGUGUUUUAUCUGUGAAUUAAGUAAGUUUAAGUGCUGCUUCAUGAUGAUGUUUUGCUAAGACUACAGAACUGGCUUUAUUUAAAAUUUUAAACAUUUAAUUACGUUACCGUUUUCACAUGACAUUGAAUAUAGCUGCCUACAUUACACACAGUACAAUACACUAACAGUACAAGCACACAGAAGUUCAGCUUUGACCUUUGGAACGAUGACAAAAUCAACUUUAUGAAGAUCCACCUGUUUUUUCUGCCUUUAAUUGGAUGCUAUGGUUUUUAUCGGCACAUUUGUGAUGCUGUUGUUUUAUUACAUUGAAUUGUGGUUGAAUUUUACACACUUAACUCCACCCAUUACAGCUUAUCUGUAGUUAGUUUUUUUUUUUUUUAAAGUAUUGUCCUAAUUUCACAAAGGUCAGUUGUCGUUGAGUUUCUGUUCCCACAGGUCGACUGGGUGCGACUGGAGAGCCGUGCGAGAGUUAAACUGUCCUUUGGGGUGAGGUAGUAGGUUGUAUAGUUUUAGGGUCAUUCCCAAGCUGUCAGAUGACUAUACAACUUACUGUCUUUCCUGAAGCGGCUGUAAUAACAUCAUCUUCAUCAUCGUACCCACAAGAGGAUAAGAAGCAUGACUUUUGAAUUUGGACUCGUUUGUUUGUUUAACCUAAAAUAAUAUGCAGAUUUUUGUGGGAAAUUGUUCUCUUUUUAUUGAUGCCUGUUGUUGUUGUUGUUUUUUAUUAUUUUUAAAAAAAAGGUAAGUUCUGCUAGUCUGAAGUUGUAACCAGUGAAGCUUGUUCUCACAGCGUGUAGUAAAUUUAGCGAAGUAAUGUGAAAUCUAGCCACUUUUACUUUUGCAGCUUUUUCAUGUAACUUUUCCUGCAAGUGCAUCCUUUUAUGUGCAGCAUGUAACAUUUCAACUGACAUUAUCAUGGCAAUCCUCAUUGCAAUAAUAAAUAACAAAGUUGCUUUCAGUUUCAUUUAUGCAGCGAUGCGGCUCGCGCACAAAUCCUCUCCGUACCCGCCUGGGUGCUUUAUGAUGUUCGUACAGGGUGAGGUAGUAGGUUGUGUGGUUUCAGGGUUGUGAUUUUACCCCAUCAGGAGCUAACUAUACAACCUACUGCCUUCCCUGGAGGGCAGCAAUACAUCACAGGAGCGCGCGCAUCUUUGUCAUUUUCCCUGCCUCUGAAAAAUGGGACAGUCUCUUUUGCAAAGGCCCACAAAAGACUGCCAUUCGAUCUCAAGGGUUCACGUGUAUGGGUGAGUGGCGCUCACUCACACGACGCAUUUCAGAGAGACAAUCACUUUACACAUUUGUAACUCACACUGGGAAGAUGGCAUAAAAAAGGCAUUUAUUUAAUUUUAUUAGCAUUCAUGUUUUAAUACUGCUUGUACUUUUCCCCCAGUAAUUAAAUAAAGACUGGACAAGAAAUAAUUGCUGAGCAAA
This is a long non-coding RNA of Maylandia zebra (zebra mbuna), 2758 nucleotides long. RefSeq lists it as uncharacterized. Lineage: Eukaryota; Metazoa; Chordata; Actinopteri; Cichliformes; Cichlidae. The record is from RefSeq and is a predicted model, not a curated record.